CAAGGCCUGGCACGGUCUGCUCAUCCCCUCCCUGCCCGCACCACACGAGGCACGGGACCACCUCAGGGCCUCUGCACAGGCGGUGCCCUUUGCCUGGAAUGCCCUUCCCCACGUCUGGGCAUGGCGGCCUCCCUCAGUUUGUUCAAACCUCCCUGCUCACUGCACCUCGCACCCCAACACUCCCAACCCCCUGGAGCUGCGGCAGGCUUGUGCCCACCACACUAUCUUCCCACAUGCUCUAGAUUUCAUCAGGAUUGUUACUUACUGUCUCUCUUCUCCAACCAGAAUACAGAGCAUGGAUCUCUGCCUUGUUUAUUCGCUAAUGAAUCCCAAGUGCUACUAACAGUUCCUGUCACUGAGAAACUGUCCAAUAAACACCUGUCAAAUGACUGAAUGUGGGAGCCAGGGGCACACUGGGAAGGUGUGUGCACCAGCCAGAGGGCACAGAUCAGCAAAAACGUGCCUUGGGGAGUGCAGAACUUGUGUCUGUGAGGGUAAGAGUUUGGGGAUGAGGAACCACAAAUGAAACUGCAAAACUUUUCAGUAAAGGGCCGGAUAGUAAGGAUUUUAGCCUUUACAGGCCACAAGUGAUCUCUGUCACAUCUUCGUUUUUGUUUCUUUAAAAAAAAAAAAAUUAAAAAUAGAAAACCACGCAGCACGUAAACAAAGGGCAGGUUCCAGAUAACUGGCAAUGGGCACUUUCCCAGGGGCCAUGAAUUUGGCCCAGGGAGUCUGGGGAGCAGCUGAUGUGUACAAAGCUCUUACUAGCAGUGCCCUUUAUUUAUUUUUAUUUAUUUAUUUUUUUGAGAUGGAGUUUCGCUCUGUCCCCAGGCUGGAGUGCAGUGGCACAAUCUCGGCUCACUGCAAGCUCCGCCUCGUGGGUUCAAGCGAUUCUCCUGCCUCAGCCUCCUGAGUAGCUGGGAGGCGCCCACCACCACGCCCAGCUAAUCUUUUGUAUUUUUAGUAAGGACGGGGUUUCACCAUGUUGGCCAGGAUGGUCUGGAUCUCUUGACCUCAUGAUCCACCCGCCUUGGCCUCCCAAAGUGCUGGAAUUACAGGCAUGAGCCACCGCACCCGGCCCUAGCAGUGCCCUUUAUAGGUGCCGACUCAUUCGAUCCUCGCAAAGGCCCUGGAGGUAGACACUGUUAUUACCGCACUGGUGCAAUGGUGGACUGAGGGUUAGCUCUGCUUUGCAGGCAUGGGUAUGGGUGUGGGUGUGCAGGCUGAGAGUGUGUCCACGAUGGUGUGGAAGUGCCCCGGCUUCCCACACACGCAUGCACGCGGGUGCAUGUCCACCAUGCCCAGGAUGGGCCCCGGCCCCACCCACCCGAUGGCCGGGCCCAC
Molecule: long non-coding RNA, 1344 nt
Filed under: Homo sapiens (human)
Lineage: Eukaryota; Metazoa; Chordata; Mammalia; Primates; Hominidae
Description: HSALNT0036178
Source: RNAcentral